RNAcentral lists this transfer RNA (73 nucleotides) under Microbacterium phage Cece. RNAcentral's name for it is "tRNA-Lys". It matches the Rfam family "tRNA". From Rfam's summary of the family: Transfer RNA (tRNA) molecules are approximately 80 nucleotides in length. Their secondary structure includes four short double-helical elements and three loops (D, anti-codon, and T loops). Lineage: Duplodnaviria; Heunggongvirae; Uroviricota; Caudoviricetes. The record is from RNAcentral.
GGGUCUCUCGUCUACUGGCUAAGACUCCUGGCUUUUACCCUUGAAAACGGGGAUCGAUACCCCGGGGACCCAC